This 467-nucleotide ribosomal RNA is filed under the name uncultured bacterium. RNAcentral's name for it is "partial 16S ribosomal RNA". It matches the Rfam family "Bacterial small subunit ribosomal RNA", at positions 28 to 507 of the family's 1533-position model. The record is from RNAcentral.
GAUGAACGCUGACAGAAUGCUUAACACAUGCAAGUCAACUUGAAUUUGGGUUUUUAACUUAGGUUUGGGUGGCGGACGGGUGAGUAACGAGUAAAGAACUUGCCUCACAGCUAGGGACAACAUUUGGAAACGAAUGCUAAUACCUAAUAUUAUGAUAAUAGGGCAUCCUAUAAUUAUGAAAGCUAUAAGCGCUGUGAGAGAGCUUUGCGUCCCAUUAGCUAGUUGGAGAGGUAACGGCUCACCAAGGCGAUGAUGGGUAGCCGGCCUGAGAGGGUGAUAGGCCACAAGGGCACUGAGACACGGCCCUUACUCCUUCGGGAGGCAGCAGUGAGGACUAGUGGACAAUGGACCAAGAGUCUGAUCCAGCAAUUCUGUGUGCACGAUGAAGUUUUUCGGAAUGUAAAGUGCUUUCAGUUGGGAAGAAAGAAAUGACGGUACCAACAGAAGAAGUGACGGCUAAAUACGUG